GGCCUAAUGGCCCAAUGGCAAGGCGCUUGACUACGAUCAGUUCGAAAUCAAGAGAUUCCAGGUUCGACCCCUGGUUAGGUCA
This 82-nucleotide transfer RNA is filed under the name Curvularia kusanoi. RNAcentral's name for it is "Cochliobolus kusanoi tRNA". It matches the Rfam family "tRNA". From Rfam's summary of the family: Transfer RNA (tRNA) molecules are approximately 80 nucleotides in length. Their secondary structure includes four short double-helical elements and three loops (D, anti-codon, and T loops). The record is from Rfam by way of RNAcentral. Lineage: Eukaryota; Fungi; Ascomycota; Dothideomycetes; Pleosporales; Pleosporaceae.